UGAGAAGAUAGUGGCGGACGGGUGAGUAACACGUGGGUAACCUGCCCAUAAGAGGGGGAUAACAUCCGGAAACGGGUGCUAAUACCGCAUAGUUUUCUUGAUCGCAUGAUUGAGAAAGGAAAGACGGCCUUUGUGCUGUCGCUUAUGGAUGGACCCGCGGCGUAUUAGUUAGUUGGUGAGGUAACGGCUCACCAAGACGAUGAUACGUAGCCGACCUGAGAGGGUGAUCGGCCACAUUGGGACUGAGACACGGCCCAAACUCCUACGGGAGGCAGCAGUAGGGAAUCUUCCGCAAUGGACGAAAGUCUGACGGAGCAACGCCGCGUGAGUGAAGAAGGUUUUCGGAUCGUAAAACUCUGUUGUCAGAGAAGAACAAGUCGGAGAGUAACUGCUCCGGCCUUGACGGUAUCUGACCAGAAAGCCACGGCUAACUACGUGCCAGCAGCCGCGGUAAUACGUAGGUGGCAAGCGUUGUCCGGAUUUAUUGGGCGUAAAGCGAGCGCAGGCGGUUCCUUAAGUCUGAUGUG
This 527-nucleotide ribosomal RNA is filed under the name uncultured Carnobacteriaceae bacterium. RNAcentral's name for it is "bacterial SSU rRNA". It matches the Rfam family "Bacterial small subunit ribosomal RNA", at positions 85 to 596 of the family's 1533-position model. The record is from RNAcentral. Lineage: Bacteria; Bacillati; Bacillota; Bacilli; Lactobacillales; Carnobacteriaceae.